GAGUUAACCCAUCUACUUUUAUAUGGGCAUCCACUUUUGAAGAAGCUGAGUACUGAUUAGUGGAGACAGAGAAGGCUUUCGCGACUCUUGGGGUGAUUUUCAAACAGAAGGUUGUCCUUACCACAUAUAUACUCGUAGGUGAGGCAGGUUGUUGAUAGCAACUCAAGCAGGGCUACUCUACUCACUCCAGUCACUUGAGAACAGUUUUUGGCAGCCUUCAAUAUUGAUUAUCUUCCAAAACAUCUCUAGCAUAUAAAAGAAAUAGAGUUUGCACACCUAGUCCAGAGAUAUUUAUCAG
Molecule: long non-coding RNA, 298 nt
Filed under: Carica papaya (papaya)
Lineage: Eukaryota; Viridiplantae; Streptophyta; Magnoliopsida; Brassicales; Caricaceae
Description: long non-coding RNA (CPAP_LNC012566)
Source: RNAcentral